This is a long non-coding RNA of Homo sapiens (human), 1351 nucleotides long. NCBI's taxonomy places the organism in Eukaryota, Metazoa, Chordata, Mammalia, Primates, Hominidae. The record is from Ensembl.
GCAGCACACCAGCAUGGCACAUGUAUACAUAUGUAACUAACCUGCACAUUGUGCACAUGUACCCUAAAACUUAAAGUAUAAGAAAAAAAAAUACAUGAUCUAUUAAAAAAAAAAAAGAAAACGUCAUUGGGUCUGGUGCUUCGGAAAAUUGGGAUCUGAAUAAUUUUUUAUUUUAUCUGUCACCUAUCAACUUCCCCAUCACAGGACAUACUGCAGAGAUGUGAUGGUCCAGCAGAAGCGCAGCCUUCCCCUUAUGCAUUCACAUGCUGGAGCUGGAAAAAAGCUGGAGGAAUCCAACCCAUUCAAGUUAUGAGGAAGAACCAACUCUUUUCAGUCCACCCAGCUGGUGAGAAGCAGGUGAUACCACUGGUGGAUGCAUGGCUGGAUGAAAACUCUAGAAACCAACAACCUCAGUGACUGAAGGAAGAUGAGUUGGACAAGAAAAAGUGAAAGAGGGUAAGAAAAGCUAAAAGGUGACCAAGAGAUGCUUUUAGAAAAACAAAGGUUGGCCGGGCACAGUGGCUCACGCCUGUAAUCCCAGCACGUUGGGAGGCUGAGGCUGGCUGAUCAUCUGAGAUCAGGAGUUUGAGAUCAGCUGGGCCAACAAAGUGAAACCCCGUCUCUAUUAAAAACACAGAAAAAAAAAUUAGCCAGGCAUGGUGUUGAGCAUCUGUAAUCCCAGGUACUUGGGAGGCUGAGGCAGGAGAAUUGCUUAAACCCAGGAGGCGGAGGUUGCUGUGAGCCGAGAUUGCGCCAUCGCACUCCAGCCUGGACAACAAGAGCGAAACUCCGUCCCCAAAAAAAGAAAAACAAAGGUUAAAAAAGACGUUGCUCAGCUAUUCCACACCUGCAGGGAGUACAAAGCAUGGCAGAUGGGUUUCAAAGGUAGCAAGAAACAAUUUUAUUAAACCAGACGGGAGUAGUAAGAGAAGCUUCUAAAAGCAUAGUCUUACACAGGGCCAUGGCAUAGAUUUGUGACUACUUCAAUGUAAUUGAAAUUUAGGAGCUUUGUAAUUUGGGUUCUAAAAUUUAAUAAAAUGGGAAGCCCAACAGUUCUUUAAUUUCAUUUUAAUAAAGGAAUCUUCAUUUUAUCUACCAUGCUGUCUUCCUCCCUCCCAACUGUGAUUACUGGUAGUCAGAACUAGCACCAGGCUAGCAUAAAAUUGAAGGAGACCCUCACCCAGGCACCAGCACUGCAUUUGCGGGGGCCCUGAAGUGAAGGCCUCCUUAAAUAUUGCACCCAGGGCUCCUGACCCUCUGCAAUGGAAGUGUGGUGAUUUCAUUUUCCUAAAAGCAGAACUUUUUGGUGUUUUAGAUGAGGUCAAUCACUUUAUCCUUCUCUUUCUGACCU